This is a long non-coding RNA of Arachis duranensis, 452 nucleotides long. RefSeq lists it as uncharacterized. The record is from RefSeq and is a predicted model, not a curated record. NCBI's taxonomy places the organism in Eukaryota, Viridiplantae, Streptophyta, Magnoliopsida, Fabales, Fabaceae. The transcript has 3 exons.
UCUUGCCGCCCAAAAAUUCAGUGCCGUCGCCGGAGAACUCUGUCGGUAAGGGUUCUAAGUUUGUGGUUUCGGUCAUUUUGAGUUUCGAGAAGGUUUUGAUGCUGUGCGGUUUUUAUAGAUGACCCACCGGAGCUUCUGGCCGCCACCGGAGCCAAUGCCGGGCCGGUUCGAAAUCGCAGCUGUUCUGUUUUCUUAAUUUGUUGUUUAUGCUGCUGCAAAAAUGUGUGGGCUGUGCUUUAAAGCUGCCUUUGAUUUUGGGUUGAGGCGGAAAGGACUCGGUGAGGCAUUUGGGUUAUGGUUUGCGUUUUGAGGAUAUGGGCGCAGAAGUCACGAAGAGUUUAUUUAGUUGUUGUGAAAAUGUUCUGUGUUGCUUUAGAUUAUUAUUUAUUAUACCCUCGCCUUUAUCUUGAUAUAUUUUAUAAGAGGGAUAUGACUUGUUUUGGAUAAUGCUU